This 271-nucleotide ribosomal RNA is filed under the name uncultured bacterium. Its description in RNAcentral is "partial 16S ribosomal RNA". It matches the Rfam family "Bacterial small subunit ribosomal RNA", at positions 524 to 794 of the family's 1533-position model. The record is from RNAcentral.
UACAGAGACUGCAAGCGUUAUUCGGAUUCACUGGGCGUAAAGGGUGCGUAGGCGGCGCUGUAAGUUGGGUGUGAAAUCCCUCGGCUCAACCGAGGAACUGCGCCCAAAACUACAGUGCUUGAGGGAGAUAGAGGUGAGCGGAACUUAGGGUGGAGCGGUGAAAUGCGUUGAUAUCCUAAGGAACGCCAGGGGCGAAAGCGGCUCACUGGGUCUCUUCUGACGCUGAGGCACGAAAGCUAGGGUAGCGAACGGGAUUAGAUACCCGGGUAGU